GAUGAACGCUGGCGGCGUGCCUAAUACAUGCAAGUCGAGCGAACAGACGAGGAGCUUGCUCCUCUGACGUUAGCGGCGGACGGGUAGUAACAAGGGGUCUACCUACCUAUAAGGCUGGGAUUACUUCGGGAAACCGGAGUUAAUAACGGGUAAUGAAUUGGACCGCAUGGUUUCAUAGUGAAAGACGGUUUUGCUUUAGCCUAUAGAUGGAUCCGCGCCGCAUUAGCUAGUUGGUUAGGUAACGGCUUACCAAGGCAACGAUGCGUAGCCGACCUGAGAGGGUGAUCGGCCACACUGGAACUGAGACACGGUCCAGACUCCUACGGGAGGCAGCAGUAGGGAAUCUUCCGCAAUGGGCGAAAGCCUGACGGAGCAACGCCGCGUGAGUGAUGAAGGUCUUCGGAUCGUAAAACUCUGUUAUUAGGGAAGAACAAAUGUGUAAGUAACUAUGCACGUCUUGACGGUACCUAAUCAGAAAGCCACGGCUAACUACGUG
RNAcentral lists this ribosomal RNA (496 nucleotides) under uncultured bacterium. RNAcentral describes it as "partial 16S ribosomal RNA". It matches the Rfam family "Bacterial small subunit ribosomal RNA", at positions 28 to 507 of the family's 1533-position model. The record is from RNAcentral.